RNAcentral lists this long non-coding RNA (1371 nucleotides) under Olea europaea subsp. europaea. The record is from RNAcentral. Lineage: Eukaryota; Viridiplantae; Streptophyta; Magnoliopsida; Lamiales; Oleaceae.
UGAAUUGUUGGGGGAAAAAAAUACGUAAGGCACUUGGAGGGAAGUUUUAUUAGAAGAAAAUAACAAAAUCAAAACAAAGGUGAAAGGUUAACCUUCAGCUACCAUAGCUUAUUUUUCUGAACCCAAUAGCUAUAGCCUAUAAGCACAGAAAAGAGCCCAAUGUUACACAUAAAUAAAUAUAGAAUACACUUUCCUCGACAUAAUUCAUAUCAGUUAUGAGAUUGUUGACACAUAAAAAUUCAGCCCAAAUCGAACGACCCAAGGAGUGAAGCCCAAUUGGAGGAUUCCCAAAUCAGAUAGCUCAAAGAACGAAACCCAAUCAAACAAAUCAAGAUGAAGGCCCAAGAACGCGGUAACGCCAUCGCCCAAGUUUGCAAGUCGCCCAGAAUCUGAGCGAAUGGAAUGCCAUACAGUCGCCCGGAGCUAUUACUCUAUUCUCGCCCAAACCUUCAAGUCGCCCAAUGUCUUAACAAACAUAAAAUGUCGUGGUUAUCAAGAAGUGCAGUUAUCAAAGCAGUUAUUAAAGCAGUCCUAUUACAUUCCACGAUUCAAGAAAUUCAAUCGAAAGCAGUUGAACGAUGAAGAGUAAUGACAGCAAUUAAAAAAGGCAAUUUUCAUGACAAGUUGGCCAUUACGAGGAAAGUGGGCAGUUAUAGGACGAUCAAGCAGUUUUUAGGGCGGUUGAUCACAAAGAUAUCGUCCAUGAAGUAUAAAAGGGAGAAAAGACAUAGAAGCAAAGACCGAAUCAAAAACUCUCGAACAGAGAACAUGUAAUUUCAUUUCCUUAACUUAAACUUAAAUAUUUUUCUUUCAGUAACUCAUAUGCUUGCGCUCCUUGGAGGCACGUUGUUUUUAAUUUUCAAUUGUAAAGUCAUCGCCAAUAAAAGAACACCCCUUUUUCGGACUUUGUCUCAAGAGGUUUGUCCCUUACACAAUCGUCUGAUCAUUUUUAAUUGUUAGCGACUAACCCGCGCGAAACAGAGAUAAAUUUUGAAAAUACAAAAAAGUGUAAACCUUCAAUAGUCAUUCAAAAUGCAGCAAUCAAGAAAGCAAACAAUAAAGUCUUAACACUAAAAUCUCAGAGGAUAACGAAAAGGGAUGGAAAGUUGCAGAUAGCACAAUUUAUUUAUUUAGAAAUGAUAAUAAAAAUGGGAAAUAACUAAAAGAAUCUUGCAUUCUUGUUGCGAAGUGCGGGCUGCCUGCUGGACUGGAGUCUGGAGUGCUGCUCGCCUGCUCCUCUCGACUCUAAUCGGUGGCGGACCUGGCAGUGCCGUCUGCUGGCUGCUGCCGUAGUGGUGGUAGUUGGGUAGAGCCGUAGAGGUAGAUUGGUAGGUGGUGGCAAUUUGGGGAAAAUCUGGGACUGUUUUCGGG